Molecule: ribosomal RNA, 468 nt
Filed under: uncultured bacterium
Lineage: Bacteria
Description: partial 16S ribosomal RNA
Rfam family: Bacterial small subunit ribosomal RNA
Source: RNAcentral
GACGAACGCUGGCGGCGUGCUUAACACAUGCAAGUCGAACGGAAAGGCCCUGCUUUUGUGGGGUGCUCGAGUGGCGAACGGGUGAGUAACACGUGAGUAACCUGCCCUUGACUUUGGGAUAACUUCAGGAAACUGGGGCUAAUACCGGAUAGGAGCUCCUGCUGCAUGGUGGGGGUUGGAAAGUUUCGGCGGUUGGGGAUGGACUCGCGGCUUAUCAGCUUGUUGGUGGGGUAGUGGCUUACCAAGGCUUUGACGGGUAGCCGGCCUGAGAGGGUGACCGGCCACAUUGGGACUGAGAUACGGCCCAGACUCCUACGGGAGGCAGCAGUGGGGAAUAUUGCACAAUGGGCGGAAGCCUGAUGCAGCAACGCCGCGUGCGGGAUGAAGGCCUUAGGGUUGUAAACCGCGUUCGCCUGUGACGAAGCGUGAGUGACGGUAAUGGGUAAAGAAGCACCGGCUAACUACGUG